Molecule: ribosomal RNA, 460 nt
Filed under: uncultured bacterium
Lineage: Bacteria
Description: partial 16S ribosomal RNA
Rfam family: Bacterial small subunit ribosomal RNA
Source: RNAcentral
CCUACGGGGGGCAGCAGUGAGGAAUAUUGGUCAAUGGACGAGAGUCUGAACCAGCCAAGUAGCGUGAAGGAUGACUGCCCUAUGGGUUGUAAACUUCUUUUAUAUGGGAAUAAAACGUUCCACGUGUGGGAUUUUGUAUGUACCAUAUGAAUAAGGAUCGGCUAACUCCGUGCCAGCAGCCGCGGUAAUACGGAGGAUCCGAGCGUUAUCCGGAUUUAUUGGGUUUAAAGGGAGCGUAGGUGGAUUGUUAAGUCAGUUGUGAAAGUUUGCGGCUCAACCGUAAAAUUGCAGUUGAGACUGGCAGUCUUGAGUACAGUAGAGGUGGGCGGAAUUCGUGGUGUAGCGGUGAAAUGCUUAGAUAUCACGAAGAACUCCGAUUGCGAAGGCAGUUCACUGGACUGCAACUGACACUGAGGCUCGAAAGUGUGGGUAUCAAACAGGAUUAGAUACCCCUGUAGUC